UGCCCAAGAGAUCGGGAUAACACCUGGAAACAGAUGCUAAUACCGGAUAACAACAGAUGAUGCCUAUCAACUGUUUAAAAGAUGGUUCUGCUAUCACUCUUGGAUGGACCUGCGGUGCAUUAGCUAGUUGGUAGGGUAACGGCCUACCAAGGCGAUGAUGCAUAGCCGAGUUGAGAGACUGAUCGGCCACAUUGGGACUGAGACACGGCCCAAACUCCUAAGGGAGGCAGCAGCA
This 235-nucleotide ribosomal RNA is filed under the name uncultured Lactobacillus sp. RNAcentral's name for it is "partial 16S ribosomal RNA". It matches the Rfam family "Bacterial small subunit ribosomal RNA", at positions 127 to 355 of the family's 1533-position model. The record is from RNAcentral. Lineage: Bacteria; Bacillati; Bacillota; Bacilli; Lactobacillales; Lactobacillaceae.